Molecule: ribosomal RNA, 207 nt
Filed under: uncultured bacterium
Lineage: Bacteria
Description: partial 16S ribosomal RNA
Rfam family: Bacterial small subunit ribosomal RNA
Source: RNAcentral
CACGUAGGCGGAUAUUUAAGUCAGGGGUGAAAUCCCAGAGCUCAACUCUGGAACUGCCUUUGAUACUGGGUAUCUUGAGUAUGGAAGAGGUAAGUGGAAUUCCGAGUGUAGAGGUGAAAUACGUAGAUAUUCGGAGGAACACCAGUGGCGAAGGCGGCUUACUGGUCCAUUACUGACGCUGAGGUGCGAAAGCGUGGGGAGCAAACA